This 881-nucleotide long non-coding RNA is filed under the name Anser brachyrhynchus (Pink-footed goose). Its description in RNAcentral is "lncRNA (ENSABRG00000013990.1)". The record is from RNAcentral. Lineage: Eukaryota; Metazoa; Chordata; Aves; Anseriformes; Anatidae.
UGGGGGAUGAAGGCCAGCUGGGCGUUAUUAUAGAUCGCUAUGAACAGCAGUGGCAUGGGCCUCAUGGAAAGCUCAGACACCUGGGUCUGGGAUGGGAGGUCAGCGUGGUAGCAGACAGGAGGAAAUGUAUUUUUUUUUUUUCUUUUAGAGAAUUUGGGGUAGAGGAAAUAGGAGUGGUGUUCUCUGUCAAUCUUUAAAGUUAGAACCAGUAGUUCCUGCAUUAUUUAUUGAUGUUAGUGUUUCACGUAUCUCUUCUAAAUGCUGGAGGAAAACAUUGCAUUCAAGUUCUCUACAAAGCAUCUCUGUUGAGAACCACUUGAUGAAGCAGGAGAAUGACAGCAAACGUUGCAGCAAUAGAGAAGUCCUUGCAGCCCUGUUCUCAACUGCACAAAUGAACCGUUCCUGAUGUGAGCUUCCAAGAGCAGGAAGGCAAAGACAAAAGAAGCUGCGAAUCUAGGAAUGUAACUGUUGAAGUGUAGGGAGUGAUGUGUACCCAGAUACAGACUUAAAGGCAAGCGGUGGAACAUCAGCAAAUGAUCAUGCAAUUUGUUUGAAUUUAACUGAAAAAUCACUGAGUGCUCACAAAGGCAUUGAAAGGGCUUCACUUCUGUGUAAGGUCAAUAUAAACUCCACCUCAUCUACUUUAGGCAGAAGAUAAGUUCUGUAUCACUCCAUUUAUUCUUCCUGAGACAUAUCAGUUUCCCAAAAGAUGAUAAAAAGAAAUUAUUUUGAAGAAGUCAAGAUGAAACCUGUUGACUUGUAGUUAGUGUCUAACUGACUAAUUCUUCUCUGAACACUGGAACUGGCAAGCAAGGAAUUUCAGAAGAUAUUAUGACUUUGCCAUCUGCAUGUAUGGUGUUCUAUGCUAAUAUAUUAAGUCC